RNAcentral lists this ribosomal RNA (598 nucleotides) under uncultured bacterium. RNAcentral describes it as "bacterial SSU rRNA". It matches the Rfam family "Bacterial small subunit ribosomal RNA", at positions 59 to 633 of the family's 1533-position model. The record is from RNAcentral.
AAGUCGAACGGUAACAGGCCGCUGUGAUCCCUUCGGGGUGAACUUGGCGCUGACGAGUGGCGAACGGGUGAGUAAUGCUUGGGAAUCUGCCCAGUAGUGGGGGACAACUCGGUGAAAACCGGGCUAAUACCGCGUACGUCCUACGGGAGAAAGUGGGGGAUCUUCGGACCUCACGCUAUUGGAUGAGCACAAGUCGGAUUAGCUUGUUGGUGGGGUAACGGCCUACCAAGGCGACGAUCCGUAGCUGGUCUGAGAGGACGAUCAGCCACACUGGGACUGAGACACGGCCCAGACUCCUACGGGAGGCAGCAGUGGGGAAUAUUGGACAAUGGGCGCAAGCCUGAUCCAGCAAUGCCGCGUGUGUGAAGAAGGCCCGCGGGUUGUAAAGCACUUUCAGUGGGGAAGAAAAGCUCGAGGCUAAUAUCCUCGGGUCUUGACGUUACCUACAGAAGAAGCACCGGCUAACUCCGUGCCAGCAGCCGCGGUAAUACGGGGGGUGCAAGCGUUAAUCGGAAUUACUGGGCGUAAAGCGCACGCAGGUGGCUAGGUUAGUCGGAUGUGAAAGCCCUGGGCUUAACCUGGGAAUUGCAUUCGAUAA